Molecule: ribosomal RNA, 724 nt
Filed under: uncultured bacterium
Lineage: Bacteria
Description: bacterial SSU rRNA
Rfam family: Bacterial small subunit ribosomal RNA
Source: RNAcentral
CAGUCGAGGGGCAGCGGGGAGCAAGCUUGCUUGCUCUGCCGGCGACCGGCGCACGGGUGAGUAACACGUAUGCAACCUGCCCUCCGCAGGGGGAUAACCCGGAGAAAUCCGGACUAAUACCGCGUGGUACACUUGUGGGGCAUCCCACGGGUGUUAAAAGGAAGUGAUUCCGGCGGAGGAUGGGCAUGCGGCGCAUUAGCUGGUUGGCGGGGUAACGGCCCACCAAGGCGACGAUGCGUAGGGGUUCUGAGAGGAAGGUCCCCCACACUGGUACUGAGACACGGACCAGACUCCUACGGGAGGCAGCAGUGAGGAAUAUUGGUCAAUGGGCGGGAGCCUGAACCAGCCAAGUCGCGUGAGGGAAGACGGUCCUAUGGAUUGUAAACCUCUUUAGGCGGGGAGCAAUGCCGGGCACGCGUGCCCGGAGGGAGAGUACCCGCAGAAUAAGCAUCGGCUAACUCCGUGCCAGCAGCCGCGGUAAUACGGAGGAUGCGAGCGUUAUCCGGAUUUAUUGGGUUUAAAGGGUGCGUAGGCGGAUUUUUAAGUCAGCGGUAAAAUGUCCGGGCUCAACCCGGGCCGGCCGUUGAAACUGGGGAUCUUGAGUGGGCGAGAAGUAUGCGGAAUGCGUGGUGUAGCGGUGAAAUAUAGAUAUCACGCAGAACUCCGAUUGCGAAGGCAGCAUACCGGCGCCCGACUGACGCUGAGGCACGAAAGCGUGGGGAUC